AUACCAUGGUGAGGGCAUUCUAACAGGAGGUCCUUGAAUCUCUCCAUGAAUCUAGAGAAGGACUCAUGUGGUUUCUGCCUGAAUUGGAGUAUGUCACUCUUGAGUUU
This is a small nucleolar RNA of Telopea speciosissima, 107 nucleotides long. Lineage: Eukaryota; Viridiplantae; Streptophyta; Magnoliopsida; Proteales; Proteaceae. The record is from RefSeq and is a predicted model, not a curated record.